CCUACGGGAGACAGCAGUGAGGAAUAUUGGUCAAUGGACGAGAGUCUGAACCAGCCAAGUAGCGUGAAGGAUGACUGCCCUAUGGGUUGUAAACUUCUUUUAUAUGGGAAUAAAAUGUUCCACGUGUGGGAUUUUGUAUGUACCAUAUGAAUAAGGAUCGGCUAACUCCGUGCCAGCAGCCGCGGUAAUACGGAGGAUCCGAGCGUUAUCCGGAUUUAUUGGGUUUAAAGGGAGCGUAGGUGGAUUGUUAAGUCAGUUGUGAAAGUUUGCGGCUCAACCGUAAAAUUGCAGUUGAAACUGGCAGGCUGGAGUACAGUAGAGGUGGGGGGAAGUCGGGGGGUAGCGGUGGAAUGCUUAG
Molecule: ribosomal RNA, 358 nt
Filed under: uncultured bacterium
Lineage: Bacteria
Description: partial 16S ribosomal RNA
Rfam family: Bacterial small subunit ribosomal RNA
Source: RNAcentral